Molecule: ribosomal RNA, 1464 nt
Filed under: Clostridium sartagoforme
Lineage: Bacteria; Bacillati; Bacillota; Clostridia; Eubacteriales; Clostridiaceae
Description: bacterial SSU rRNA
Rfam family: Bacterial small subunit ribosomal RNA
Source: RNAcentral
AGAGUUUGAUCCUGGCUCAGGACGAACGCUGCGGCGUGCCUACCACAUGCAAGUCGAGCGAGGAGAUUCCUUCGGGGAUGAACUAGCGGCGGACGGGUGAGUAACACGUGGGCAACCUGCCUUAUAGUAGGGGAAUAGCCUCCGAAAGGAAGAUUAAUACCGCAUAACAUUACAUGUCGCAUGAAGAAGUAAUUAAAGGAGUAAUCCGCUAUAAGAUGGGCCCGCGGCGCAUUAGCUAGUUGGUGAGGUAACGGCUCACCAAGGCGACGAUGCGUAGCCGACCUGAGAGGGUGAUCGGCCACAUUGGGACUGAGACACGGCCCAGACUCCUACGGGAGGCAGCAGUGGGGAAUAUUGCACAAUGGGGGAAACCCUGAUGCAGCAACGCCGCGUGAGUGAUGAAGGUCUUCGGAUCGUAAAGCUCUGUCUUCAGGGACGAUAAUGACGGUACCUGAGGAGGAAGCCACGGCUAACUACGUGCCAGCAGCCGCGGUAAUACGUAGGUGGCGAGCGUUGUCCGGAUUUACUGGGCGUAAAGGGAGCGUAGGCGGAUUUUUAAGUGAGAUGUGAAAUACCCGGGCUCAACUUGGGUGCUGCAUUUCAAACUGGAAGUCUAGAGUGCAGGAGAGGAGAGUGGAAUUCCUAGUGUAGCGGUGAAAUGCGUAGAGAUUAGGAAGAACACCAGUGGCGAAGGCGACUCUCUGGACUGUAACUGACGCUGAGGCUCGAAAGCGUGGGGAGCAACAGGAUAGAUACCCUGGUAGUCACGCCGUAACGAUGAAUACUAGGUGUAGGGGUUGUCAUGACCUCUGUGCCGCCGCAAACGCAUUAAGUAUUCCGCCUGGGGAGUACGGUCGCAAGAUUAAAACUCAAAGGAAUUGACGGGGGCCCGCACAAGCAGCGGAGCAUGUGGUUUAAUUCGAAGCAACGCGAAGAACCUUACCUAGACUUGACAUCUCCUGAAUUACUCUUAAUCGAGGAAGUCCCUUCGGGGACAGGAAGACAGGUGGUGCAUGGUUGUCGUCAGCUCGUGUCGUGAGAUGUUGGGUUAAGUCCCGCAACGAGCGCAACCCUUAUUGUUAGUUGCUACCAUUAAGUUGAGCACUCUAGCAAGACUGCCCGGGUUAACCGGGAGGAAGGUGGGGAUGACGUCAAAUCAUCAUGCCCCUUAUGUCUAGGGCUACACACGUGCUACAAUGGCAAGUACAAAAAGAUGCAAUACCGCAAGGUGGAGCUAAACUUAAAAACUUGUCUCAGUUCGGAUUGUAGGCUGAAACUCGCCUACAUGAAGCUGGAGUUGCUAGUAAUCGCGAAUCAUAUGUCGCGGUGAAUACGUUCCCGGGCCUUGUACACACCGCCCGUCACACCAUGAGAGUUGGCAAUACCCAAAGUUCGUGAGCUACCCGUAGGGAAGCAGCGACCUACAUAGGGUCAGCGAUUGAGUGAAGUCGUAACAAGGUAACC